AACCUUAUGGACCUGCGGGCGUAUACCUGCGGAGGGAUCAUUAAUAAAUGUUACUUCGGUAACUUAAUUAAUCCCUAACACCUGUGCAUCUUGUCGCUUCGGCGUCAUUUUAUAAACAUCAGUGUAAUGAAUGUAAAGUAUUAUAACAAAUACAACUUUUAACAACGGAUCU
Molecule: unclassified non-coding RNA, 172 nt
Filed under: soil metagenome
Description: partial contains 5.8S ribosomal RNA, internal transcribed spacer 2, and large subunit ribosomal RNA
Source: RNAcentral